RNAcentral lists this long non-coding RNA (1213 nucleotides) under Gallus gallus (chicken). RNAcentral's name for it is "long non-coding RNA NONGGAT008120". Lineage: Eukaryota; Metazoa; Chordata; Aves; Galliformes; Phasianidae. The record is from RNAcentral.
AUUUUAUUGGACUGUCUGCGUAAUGUGGGCCACAGACAUUCACCCUGCUGCCCCUCAGCAGCGUACAAUAAGUUGUGUGAGUCAAGCUGUGCUCCCAGAAGGAACACAAGUCUUUAUCCAAAGAGGCUGAGACAGGGAGACUCCAGCACUUCCUGUAACAGCCGGCUCAAAUGCUUCAUUGCCCCGACUUCCUUGUACAAAAUAAAGCAAAUAAAAAUAGUUCCCUUCUUUAUUUUUUAAUUGGGACUUGUCUGGCUUCGGCAUUUAUCCGUCAGUUCUUGUUACGGCUUUCUCUGGGAGAUUAGAGAGUUCUUCGGUACCUGAUAUUUCUUCCCUAGGAAGAAGUGCAUGUGCAGAAGCAAGUCGCCCCUGGACCUUGUUAAUAAACUAAGCAAACAGAUCCCUUCCCAUCUCGCAUGUAGUAUGUUUUUUCCCCAGUUUUGGUAAAUGUUGAGGGCUCUUCACUCCCGUCACUGGAAGACAAGCAGAAAAGAAAAGAGCAGGAAACAGAAAGAAGUCCAAACCCCUGGAAAAUCAGACAGCCACACACUCCCUCCCCUUUGUCUGCAUGAAUACAUUGUUCCCCUUCCCAUUGUCUUCGUAACAAAUUUGGGGAAUUAUCCCUGGUGCCAUUUCCCAAAUCUCGGUAUCGCUUCAGAUUAAUUAUUACCAGCGAGUAGCAGAGAGGGAACUGGCUGUCAGCAUUUGAGCGAGGGGUAAAAAUGAGGGCCGGAGCGUGCAUUUAGCCACACGCACGUUUGCAGGGCAUGGGUGGGAAUGAAAGGGAGCGUUGCAGAGCGCUCCAGCAUCCUCGUGUGCUCGCCCGGCUGCUCCGCUCCGCCACAGGCACACAGCUGGCCGGGAACGAGCGAGCCUGUGGAGCUCCUGUGCAGCCCGACAGGCUGAAACGUCCCAGAGAAGCCGUACAGGCAGAUCUGCCGAGGAGGAAAAUACAACAGGAAAAAUGGCACAAAGACAAACAGAAACUCAAGAGAAAGUGCGUGCUGAGGGGGACUGAGUGCAGAAGAGGGGAGCUCUGGCUGCAGCCCGCUGAGGACAGGCCCUCACACCGAAGCGUGUACCUCCAGUAAAACACUCUGGGUCAUCACGCAGCCCGGGGAGAGGUACUGACCCGCUCUGCUUAUGGCUGUGCUCUCUGCUUGCCACAGCAGCGCCGAGAUUGAGCUCAUCAUAAUGUGUCUCCAUAUAGGGC